RNAcentral lists this ribosomal RNA (113 nucleotides) under Pteropus alecto (black flying fox). RNAcentral also lists the same sequence under 1 other name. Lineage: Eukaryota; Metazoa; Chordata; Mammalia; Chiroptera; Pteropodidae. The record is from RNAcentral.
GUCUACAGCCAUCCUACCCUGAACAAGCCCGAUCCCGUCUGAUCUCGGAAGCUAAGCAGGCCCGAUUAGUACUUGGGUGGGAGACCACCUAGGAAGACCAGGUGCUGUAGGCA